AUUGAACGCUGGCGGCAGGCCUAACACAUGCAAGUCGAGCGGAUGAAGGGAGCUUGCUCCUGGAUUCAGCGGCGGACGGGUGAGUGAUGCCUAGGAAUCUGCCUGGUAGUGGGGGAUAACGUCCGUUAACGGGCGCUAAUACCGCAUACGUCCUGAGGGAGAAAGUGGGGGAUCUUCUGACCUCACGCUAUCAGAUGAGCCUAGGUCGGAUUAGCUAGUUGGUGGGGUAAAGGCCUACCAAGGCGACGAUCCGUAACUGGUCUGAGAGGAUGAUCAGUCACACUGGAACUGAGACACGGUCCAGACUCCUACGGGAGGCAGCAGUGGGGAAUAUUGGACAAUGGGCGAAAGCCUGAUCCAGCCAUGCCGCGUGUGUGAAGAAGGUCUUCGGAUUGUAAAGCACUUUAAGUUGGGAGGAAGGGAAGUAAGUUAAUACCUUGCUGUUUUGACGUUACCAACAGAAUAAGCACCGGCUAACUUCGUG
Molecule: ribosomal RNA, 484 nt
Filed under: uncultured bacterium
Lineage: Bacteria
Description: partial 16S ribosomal RNA
Rfam family: Bacterial small subunit ribosomal RNA
Source: RNAcentral